CAGCCGUAAACUAUGCGCGUUAGGUGUAUCGGUGACCACGAGUUACCGAGGUGCCGAAGGGAAACCGUGAAACGUGCCGCCUGGGAAGUACGGUCGCAAGCCUGAAACUUAAAGGAAUUGGCGGGGGAGCACAACAACGGGUGGAGCCUGCGGUUUAAUUGGACUCAACGCCGGACAACUCACCGGGGACGACAGCAAUAUGUAGGCCAGGCUGAAGACCUUGCCUGAAUCGCUGAGAGGAGGUGCAUGGCGUAGACGUCU
Molecule: ribosomal RNA, 261 nt
Filed under: uncultured archaeon
Lineage: Archaea
Description: partial 16S ribosomal RNA
Rfam family: Archaeal small subunit ribosomal RNA
Source: RNAcentral